RNAcentral lists this long non-coding RNA (827 nucleotides) under Capra hircus (goat). RNAcentral's name for it is "lncRNA (ENSCHIG00010011682.1)". Lineage: Eukaryota; Metazoa; Chordata; Mammalia; Artiodactyla; Bovidae. The record is from RNAcentral.
UGCAAUAAAAUAUUAUUUACCUCAGUUACUGAGUUUUUUGGCACCCCUAAAUUUUGUCCGUGAGGCGAGGACCUCCCUCGACUCACCCUAGUUCAAGCCAUGGUAAUGUAUCAAUGCCUGGCUUGUUUGCCCCACAGGAAGACGAUGCUGAAGGGUCACCUAGCACCACAGUCCCUGUGGGCUCAGCUGAGACCUGUCUUGUGACUUCAUCCCAGUUCAGUCCUGCUUCCCUCAAUCCCAUAACAGUGUUAUGCUCAAGAGGACUGCUGCAGGUACUGGUUAUUUCUUAAAAGAACCUCACUGGCACUAAAAGCAGGAAGAAUCAAUUCAACAAAGAAGAGAAACUCACAAACACUCUUUAAAUCAAUUCAACAAAGAAGAGAAACUCACAAACACUCUUUAUACUUUUCCAAAAGAUUCUUCUAAGAAAGUCAGUUUCUGUAAUACUAUGCGUUAACAUGGGUAGUUUACCCUGAAUUUGCAAAACUCACCAUGUUUUUUGAGUUAAUAAAUUUCACAAAAUGUUUAUUAAAAAUGUUUUCUUUUUUAUAAAUAUUUUCAUGGAAACUUACUCAAACCUUUGAAAUAACAGAGAAUAUCACAAAAAUGUUUAACAGAGACCAAUAGUAUUUUAAACAUAUUUCCUGAAAGAAACAAUAUCCCUUAGAAAAGAUAUAGGGUACUUACCUAUCUAGAUUUUAACAAAAUAUUCUUUAUAGAAAUGGGUUAUAAUCUUUACCACAGAAACACCAAAUCUGCACCUAAUCAGGAGAGAGAAUUAAAUAAACCAGCUCUCAUUCACUUUCUCCAUCGGAAGACAUCCAUUU